AUGACUUGAGAUUUUGGUAAUAGUUUAAAAGGCAACAGAGUUUUAGUUUUGAUCAAAAUAAACAAAACACUUCCAAACAACAGAUUUUUAAAUUUAUUUUGCUAUUUUAAGAAAACUACAUAUGGCCCAAAGAGCCUCUGCACAUUAGAACAUUAUGAAACUAUUCUAAGAAUGGUGAUUACCUUUCUUACUUCUCAUAACUAUUUGUACUGUUUCUGAAUGUCAUUAAUAAUAAAAAUGUUCUUUUCUUUGGUUUUCUUUAUAUACCUAAAAUAUCUCUUGUAUAAUCACAUUUAAUUUAUUUAUUGGGUCAUUUUUAUAAGUUUAUAUGUAUGUGUACAAAUAAUACCAUUCAUAUUUUUAGGGGGAAAGUAUAUAAUACACUGGACAAAUGUGAGUUUUUUUCAAAACCAUUAUAACAGAGAAAAAUAAAAAUGAGAAUAUAAAGUGUGCAUCAGUAAGAAAGAAAGAGCACAAGUCAGCAAUAUGUUUCUAUGAUUGAGCCACAUACAUCUUCCUAUAAUCUCUCUUUCAAAAUACAAAGAAUUAAGGGUUUAUUAAUGAUGUAUUUGUCCUUAAUUCUGCAGAGACAACAUACCUGUUUUUCAGUAAACAAAUACUAUUCUUGAAAGUUGCAGCAAAUUAAUUUGCUGUUUUGUAGAUUAUUGAAGUGAAUAGACUUACUCUGGUUACUGUAAUUGAAAAGACACCAGAUUCUCCAAUCAUAAGAAAUUAAUUUCUCUAUGCUUAUCAUGGCUUGAAAUGAAAUACAUUACUUUGCUUGGCUUCCAAGCAGUGCUCUCACCUAUAUUGUGGUUGUGAAGUUCCUGUAGUUAACUAUGAAAUGUGAUACAACAAGCACGUUUUUUCUACUGGGAUUGACAGUUUCUAUUUCUGCUCUAAUUUACCAGGUCCUGCCUCCUCACUUUCCCACAUAUUAAAUUUUUAGUUCAAGUUUCUGAAAUUUCUUCCUCAUUUCAGGUACGUUUAACCUUUUCUACUUCAUUCAUAAUUUUCCCUCCUUCAACUUUUAAAACAAACAAUCACUAGGAAAUUUUUAGUGGAGACUCUGUAUGUUUUUAGACAUUUUUAACUUUAAAAACUGCAGUUUAUUUUCUGGCUUCAAGUUAUCAAAGUUUUUCUUUCUUUGACUCUUUUCUUCCCAAUCUUUGCUGCAUGUCUAGUAGUUUUUCUUAGUAAAAGCUUGAAAAGUUGAGUCAGAUAUUAUUAUUAUUAUUAUUUCUUUUUUUUUUUCUAACCACAAAGAGCCAUAUCUCCAGCUCUUUUUUUAAAUAUUUUAUUUAGAGGCAGGGUCAAAGUUUCUUAGGGCCUCCCUAAAUUGCUGAGGCUGGCUUUGAACUCAUGAUCUUUCUGCCUCAGCCUCCCAAGCUGCUGAGAUAACAAGCGUGUACCAUCACACCUGGCAAGUAAGGUAUUUUAAAGUCUGACAAAUAAUAGACUUUGUCCUGAUCAGUGCUUUGCCAGUUUUGAUGCCGAAAACCAAUUUUAAUAAAUAUUUAUAACCAAAAAUUUUCAAACUUUGAAACUUACAUGUUUUGGUAUUUAGUCUGUCUUAAUUACUUUUUUAUAAUUAAAUUCCUUAUUUACUUAUUCAAAAUAAAGAAGAUUUUUAUAAAAUAAAGAAAUAAACUAGUAAAUCAACAGACUGUAUGCAUCAAUAGGGUAUAUGUUAUGUUGUGCAUGUAUGAAUGUCACAAUGAAUCUCUCUAGUAUGUUUAAUUGUAAUGCACUAAUAAAAGAAAUUUUUAAAAAAAAGACUAAACAUGUAAUUAUCCCACAACCCGUGAAUUUCAUUUCUGGGCAUUUAUCUGUAUUAAGAAUUGUAAUGAAAAAAAAAAAAGAGUAGUACAUGUAUAAUGGCAUAAUUUGGUGUGAACAUACUUUAUAUACAGAGUUACAAAAAAUUGUGCUGUAUAUGUGUAAUAAGGAGUGUAAUGCAUUCCACUAUUGUGGUGUAUUUAAAAAAUAAAUAAAAACAACAAAAAAGAAAACUAAAAAAAUAAUAUAUACAUAAAUAACUACAAAAAAUCAACACAUAAAAAUAAAUCCUAAAAUAAUAUGAAAGAAAGAUGCUUUGUCCAAUAUUUAUUAAUUAUGAAAUGCAAAUAUUAACCUCAUGCUUUAAUCAUCAAUUGUGAAAUGUUUACUAGGGAGUACAAAUGAUAAAAUUAAUGCUUUUAUUUUAUUUAAAUUACAAUGAUGCUAGAGAGGGAUAGACUUAGAAUUUUUUGAAAUAAAAUCAUUGCAGAGCUAUAAUUGUGUUUUCAAUCCUUUGUUAAUGGCAUUAAUUUUAUCUAUAAAAAUUAACAGGCAUAUCUAUUCUUCAACACAAAUAUUAAAAAAUAUUUCCCCCUGUUUUUAUUAUAAGAUACCUUUCCAAAUUAUAGAGUGACAUAUCAAUAUUUGCACUCUUUAUUUCACAGUGUUUUUUCCUAUAUGAAAAUGAAUGAGGAGCCUAC
RNAcentral lists this long non-coding RNA (2480 nucleotides) under Marmota monax (woodchuck). The record is from RNAcentral. Lineage: Eukaryota; Metazoa; Chordata; Mammalia; Rodentia; Sciuridae.